AUGGCACUACCUGGCUUCUCACAGGCUGCCUGGAGCCUGGAGCCUCCAGCUCCCACAGCUACCUCCUCGUCUUCAGGACUUCAGGUACAGGAUGGUGCCAGGAGCCCUGUGGCACCACAGGGGCUUCCCCUGGAGAAGGUGAAGCGACCCAUGAACGCGUUCAUGGUAUGGAGCUCCGCUCAGCGCCGCCAGAUGGCGCAGCAGAACCCAAAGAUGCACAACUCCGAGAUUUCGAAGCGCCUGGGUGCUCAGUGGAAGAUGCUGGGUGAGGAGGAGAAGCGGCCCUUUGUGGAGGAGGCCAAGCGGCUGCGCGCCCGGCACCUGCGCGACUAUCCCGACUACAAGUACCGGCCCCGGCGCAAGACCAAGAGCUCAGGCGCUGGCCCUCCGCACUUCAGCCAGGGAGGAAGCGGUGAGGUCUGCAGGGGGCCGCACUGGGGGCCAGGGUACACUACCACCCAAGGGAGCAGAGGAUUUGGGUACCAGCCCCCAAACUACUCUACAGCCUACUUGCCUGGAAGCUAUGGCUCUUCCCACUGUAGACUGGAGGCUCCCUCAUCGUACUCCCUCCCUCAGAGUGACCCUGGGCUCCAGGGGGAGCUGCUUCCUCCUCAUGACCCAUACCUACCCUCAGGCUCUCCCACUCUUACAACACUCCCCUGGCUGGUGUCCCCAUGCCCCUAA
Molecule: non-coding RNA, 684 nt
Organism: Castor canadensis (American beaver)
Lineage: Eukaryota; Metazoa; Chordata; Mammalia; Rodentia; Castoridae
Source: RefSeq, a predicted model, not a curated record